CCUUAUCAAGAGAAGUGGAGGGGACCGGCCCUGUGAAACUCGGCAACCUGAUUUUCCCAAAUUAAGGUGCCAAAUCCGGCGGAUUAUCCGAAAGAUGAGG
RNAcentral lists this non-coding RNA (100 nucleotides) under human gut metagenome. Its description in RNAcentral is "SAM riboswitch (S box leader)". It matches the Rfam family "SAM riboswitch aptamer (S box leader)". From Rfam's summary of the family: The SAM riboswitch is found upstream of a number of genes which code for proteins involved in methionine or cysteine biosynthesis in Gram-positive bacteria. The SAM riboswitch acts at the level of transcription termination control. The record is from RNAcentral.